CCUACGGGGGACAGCAGUGAGGAAUAUUGGUCAAUGGCCGGAAGGCUGAACCAGCCAUGCCGCGUGAAGGUCAGUGCCCUAUGGGCGUUAAACUUCUUUUGUGCGGGAGCAAUAAUGGUCACGUGUGGCCAGACGAGAGUACCGUACGAAUAAGCAUCGGCUAACUCCGUGCCAGCAGCCGCGGUAAUACGGGGGAUGCAAGCGUUAUCCGGAUUUAUUGGGUUUAAAGGGUGCGUAGGCGGGGAGGUAAGGCAGCGGUGAAAUGCCCGCGCUCAACGGGGUGAAGUGCCAUUGAUACUGCCGUGCUGGAAUGCGGAUGCCGUAGGAGGAAUGUGUGGUGUAGCGGUGAAAUGCAUAGAGAUCACACAGAACACCGAUUGCGAAGGCAUCUCACGAAGCCGCGAUUGACGCUGAUGCACGAAAGCGUGGGUAUCAAACAGGAUUAGAUACCCUUGUAGUC
Molecule: ribosomal RNA, 460 nt
Filed under: uncultured bacterium
Lineage: Bacteria
Description: partial 16S ribosomal RNA
Rfam family: Bacterial small subunit ribosomal RNA
Source: RNAcentral